Non-coding RNA from Triticum urartu, 131 nucleotides. Lineage: Eukaryota; Viridiplantae; Streptophyta; Magnoliopsida; Poales; Poaceae. The record is from Rfam.
UAUAUACUCCCCCCGUCCCAAAAUUCUUGUCUUAGAUUUGGCUAAAUACGGAUGUAUCUAGUUACGUUUUAGUGUUAGAUACAUCAGUAUCUAGACAAAUCUAAGACAAGAAUUUUGGGACGAAGUAUGUU